This 498-nucleotide ribosomal RNA is filed under the name uncultured bacterium. Its description in RNAcentral is "partial 16S ribosomal RNA". It matches the Rfam family "Bacterial small subunit ribosomal RNA", at positions 28 to 523 of the family's 1533-position model. The record is from RNAcentral.
GACGAACGCUGGCGGCGUGCCUAACACAUGCAAGUCGAGCGGAGUCAGUAAGAGGAAGUUUUCGGAUGGAAUCUUAUUGAUUUAGCGGCGGACGGGUGAGUAACGCGUGAGCGACCAACCUUGCACAGGGGGAUAACGGACCGAAAGGUUCACUAAUACCGCAUGAGACCACGGUGUUGCAUGACACAGGGGUCAAAGGAGUAAUCCGGUGCAAGACGGGCUCGCGUCCGAUUAGGUAGUUGGAGGGGUAACGGCCCACCAAGCCUAUGAUCGGUAGCCGACCUGAGGGGGUGAUCGGCCACAUUGGAACUGAGAUACGGUCCAAACUCCUACGGGAGGCAGCAGUGGGGAAUAUUGGGCAAUGGGGGAAACCCUGACCCAGCAACGCCGCGUGAAGGAAGAAGGUUUUCGGAUUGUAAACUUCUGUCCUUGGUGAAGAGAAGAAGACGGUAGCCAAGGAGGAAGCCCCGGCUAACUACGUGCCAGCCGCCGCGGUAA